RNAcentral lists this ribosomal RNA (433 nucleotides) under uncultured bacterium. RNAcentral describes it as "partial 16S ribosomal RNA". It matches the Rfam family "Bacterial small subunit ribosomal RNA", at positions 29 to 507 of the family's 1533-position model. The record is from RNAcentral.
AACGAACGCUGGCGGCAUGCCUAACACAUGCAAGUCGAACGAGACCUUCGGGUCUAGUGGCGCACGGGUGCGUAACGCGUGGGAACCUGCCCUUAGGUUCGGAAUAACUCCCCGAAAGGGGUGCUAAUACCGGAUAAUGUCUUCGGACCAAAGAUUUAUCGCCUUUGGAUGGGCCCGCGUUGGAUUAGCUAGUUGGUAGGGUAAAAGCCUACCAAGGCGACGAUCCAUAGCUGGUCUGAGAGGAUGAUCAGCCACACUGGGACUGGGACACGGCCCAGACUCCUCCGGGAGGCAGCAGUGGGGAAUAUUGGACCAUGGGCGAAAGCCUGAUCCAGCAAUGCCGCGUGAGUGAUGAAGGCCUUAGGGUUGUAAAGCUCUUUUACCCGGGAUGAUAAUGACAGUACCGGGAGAAUAAGCGCCGGCUAACUCCGUG